RNAcentral lists this ribosomal RNA (381 nucleotides) under uncultured archaeon. RNAcentral's name for it is "bacterial SSU rRNA". It matches the Rfam family "Archaeal small subunit ribosomal RNA", at positions 345 to 728 of the family's 1478-position model. The record is from RNAcentral.
AACCUUAGCAAUGUGCGAAAGCACGACUAGGUUAAUCCGAGUGAUUUCUGCUGAAGAAAUCUUUUGUCAGUUUUAAAAAUACAGAUGAAUAAGGGGUGGGCAAGUCUGGUGUCAGCCGCCGCGGUAAUACCAGCACCUCGAGUGGUCAGGAGGUUUAUUGGGCCUAAAGCAUCCGUAGCCGGCUAUGCAAGUCUCCGGUUAAAUCCAGCUGCUCAACAGAUGGGCUGCCGGAGAUACUACACAGCUAGGGAGCGGGAGAGGUAGACGGUAUUCGGUGGGUAGGGGUAAAAUCCUCUGAUCCAUUGAGGACCACCAGUGGCGAAGGCGGUCUACCAGAACGCGUUCGACGGUGAGGGAUGAAAGCUGGGGGAGCAAACCGGA